Cercocebus atys (sooty mangabey) is the source of this 119-nucleotide ribosomal RNA. Lineage: Eukaryota; Metazoa; Chordata; Mammalia; Primates; Cercopithecidae. The record is from Ensembl.
UGUCCCGGACAUAUCACCCUGAACACACCCGAUCUCGUCUGAUCCCAGAAGCUAAGUAGGGUCAGGCCUGCUUAGUACUUGGAUGGGAACUUCAACAUAUGAAUUGAGGGGGUGGACAC